This 48-nucleotide ribosomal RNA is filed under the name Mortierellales sp. WD25E. RNAcentral's name for it is "partial 25S ribosomal RNA". Lineage: Eukaryota; Fungi; Mortierellomycota; Mortierellomycetes; Mortierellales. The record is from RNAcentral.
CGAUCUCAAAUCAAGUAAGACUACCCGCUGAACUUAAGCAUAUCAAUA